This 478-nucleotide ribosomal RNA is filed under the name uncultured bacterium. Its description in RNAcentral is "partial 16S ribosomal RNA". It matches the Rfam family "Bacterial small subunit ribosomal RNA", at positions 28 to 507 of the family's 1533-position model. The record is from RNAcentral.
GAUGAACGCUGGCGGCGUGCUUAACACAUGCAAGUCGAACGAGAAGUGAAGACGGAAACCUUCGGGCGGAAGGCUUUAUUUCGAGUGGCGGACGGGUGAGUAACGCGUGGGUAACCUGCCUCAUACAGGGGGAUAACAGUUGGAAACGACUGUUAAUACCGCAUAAGACCACAGCACCGCAUGGUGCGGGGGUAAAAACUCCGGUGGUAUGAGAUGGACCCGCGUUCGAUUAGCCAGUUGGCGGGGUAACGGCCCACCAAAGCGACGAUCGAUAGCCGAUCUGAGAGGAUGACCGGCCACAUUGGGACUGAGACACGGCCCAAACUCCUACGGGAGGCGGCAGUGGGGAAUAUUGCACAAUGGGGGAAACCCUGAUGCAGCGACGCCGCGUGAGUGAAGAAGUAUUUCGGUAUGUAAAGCUCUAUCAGCAGGGAAGAAAAUGACGGUACCUGAGGAAGAAGCCCCGGCUAACUACGUG